ACCGGCUCGGCUCCUGGACUGGCCCCUCCUAGUUAUGUGUAUUUAUCGGUUAUUUAUGUGCCCCCCUGGGGCCCUGGGCAGGUACCGAGGCUCCAGGCCUCUGCUUUGAGACCUGGCCUGGGGAGGGCGCCGUCCCCGGUGCCUGGGGGAUGACCCUGAGCUGGACAGCCCCCAGCUCGAGAUGCACUUUAUCCUUUGACAAAAACAGCCGGGCUAGAAGGAACAUUCUCACUCUUCCAGAACUUGCUAAGCGACACCUACAGAAAAGGGAAAAGGUGUUCUGAUGGCCACCUCCACUCCCUGGCCCCCUGGGCUCCCCUCACCCCAGCCCCCUGGGAGGAACGAGCACCCCUGUGUUUCUAAAGCAGCUAUUUAUUUUACGUGUGCGCGCGCGUUGUCUCACUGGUAAACAGGAUCUCACAGCACAGCCCUGGCUGGCACAGAGGGCAGUGGGCGAAGCCUCUCUCUCACCCUCCACCCUGCCUGGUCGUCAACACCCAGCUGGUCCCCCGGGGGCAGCCACUGGCCCAGAUCAUGGUGUGUCCUUCUAGGAAGGUCUACGCAUGGACCCAGGUGCACCCAGGGCGGGGUUAUGUUUUAACACAGAGUGGAGCCCAGGUGUGCCCCGCUGGCCGUGCAGGAGCUCCCGGGCUGCCGAUGGGACUCGUUCCCAAAGCCCAGCCCUCCACCCACAGACGUGGGUGUGGCCCCGGGGACCGCCUCCCCAUCCCAUGGACCCGCGUCCUGGGGUGACUUCCCGGGGGGGCCGCUCCGGGGGACAUGUCUUUGUAGCCUGGCCGAGUCAUGCUCCCCCAACACCAGCAGAGGCCCAGGCAGCUCUGGACAGCCCCUCGGGCUUCUGUCCACCACUGGUGACCUGCCAGACGAGGGGCAGCCAAGCUAACGGGCACCUCCCAGCUCAGGCACCCCGCCAGCCACCUGAGAACCGCCUGACCUGUCACGACAGAAGGCCCUGGAUCGGAGUGCGUUUGGGGGCAAUGAGUUUAGGGACCCAGGAGUGCAUGGCCUCCUUCAGCAGUUCUGGGUCAGCUACGAUGCCCGCUUUGGAGCCUCAGUGCCCACACCUGUGACCCACGUCAGCUCUAAGGGCUGUGGGGCUGCAGGACAGUUGUCUGCACGCCCCUGCCACUUUCACCUGCUGAUUGACACCUACUGUGUGUAAGGCCCAGGAAGAGGGGAGGGGUCUCAGAAGGCUACCCGGAGAAGGUAACCUUUACCUUGAGCUUGGAAGGAGUCUUCAGUCAGCACUCACUGAGUUUCCGCCAUGUGCCCAGGACUGGGAUCAGAGCAGCGAACAAAAUGGAAAGCUCCCCACCUGCCCCGUGGGUGACCGACAACCACGGCACCGGCAGCGAAGCCCUGGGCCGCUUGGUGCCGCCAGGGAGUUGGGGCUCUUUUGAACAUGAGCUGCCUGGACUCCUUGCUUGGUGCCUGCGAUAAACCCUGCACCCGCCUUCACCACAACGCGUGUCAGCAGACUGGCUUCACUGUGCGUGGAUACGUGUUUCAUGGAACAGGCGAUGCACCGAGAUCCCAGUACCAGUGAGGAAGAUGACAGCCCUGUUGCCGGUGAACCCAAAGGAGUCUGCAGAAAAGGG
Molecule: long non-coding RNA, 1619 nt
Organism: Physeter macrocephalus (sperm whale)
Lineage: Eukaryota; Metazoa; Chordata; Mammalia; Artiodactyla; Physeteridae
Exons: 3
Source: RefSeq, a predicted model, not a curated record